Molecule: transfer RNA, 73 nt
Filed under: Camelus bactrianus (Bactrian camel)
Lineage: Eukaryota; Metazoa; Chordata; Mammalia; Artiodactyla; Camelidae
Also listed under: 2 other names
Rfam family: tRNA
About the family: Transfer RNA (tRNA) molecules are approximately 80 nucleotides in length. Their secondary structure includes four short double-helical elements and three loops (D, anti-codon, and T loops). Further hydrogen bonds mediate the characteristic L-shaped molecular structure. tRNAs have two regions of fundamental functional importance: the anti-codon, which is responsible for specific mRNA codon recognition, and the 3' end, to which the tRNAs corresponding amino acid is attached (by aminoacyl-tRNA synthetases). tRNAs cope with the degeneracy of the genetic code in two manners: having more than one tRNA (with a specific anti-codon) for a particular amino acid; and 'wobble' base-pairing, i.e. permitting non-standard base-pairing at the 3rd anti-codon position.
Source: Rfam by way of RNAcentral
GAAGGUAUAGCUCAAGUGGUAGAGCCCCUGCUUAGCAUGCAUGAGGUCCUGGGUUCAAUCCCCCGUAUCGCCU